This is a long non-coding RNA of Ictalurus punctatus (channel catfish), 392 nucleotides long. The record is from Ensembl. NCBI's taxonomy places the organism in Eukaryota, Metazoa, Chordata, Actinopteri, Siluriformes, Ictaluridae.
AGCUUCCCGAGUUUGCGAGUUAACAGCUGACUAGCUUCCUGAGUUUGCUAGUUAACAGCUGACUAGCUUCCUGAGUUUGCUAGUUAACAGCUGAUUAGCUUCCUGAGUUUGUUAACAAACUCAGGUUUGUUAACAGCUGAUUAGCUUCCUGAGUUUGCUAGUUAACAGCUGACUAGCUCCCUGAGUUUGCUAGUUAACAGCUGACUAGCUUCCUGAGUUUGCUAGUUAACAGCUGACUAGCUUCCUGAGUUUGCUAGUUAACAGCUGAUUAGCUUCCUGAGUUUGCUAGUUAACAGCUGACUAGCUUCCUGAGUUUGCUAGUUAACAGCUGACUAGCCCACUAGAAUGCUAGCUACCUGCUAGUAAACAACCUUCUCAUAAGUAGACACAUU